GAUAGCCCUUUUCAUUAGCAGAUCCAAAUCUUUCUUUUGGUUAGAUGUUCUAGCCAGGACCUUCGUGAGGACUGUGUGUCUCAUUCCCUUUUUGUCUCUAGCACCUUGAAGCUGCCUCCCACAGAGUGUGAACCCAAAAUAUGUUACGAAUCAAUAAAUGAUCAGGGCAAUGAUUUGUAUACUGCAAUAAUUACUUUGUGAUUGUGGAAAUGUUCUAGCAGCAGAAGCCUCACUUCAGUCGGCUCACUCAAAUAUUACCUUCAAGAAUCAGUGUGAUGCACACCUUUUAACUAGGUUUUACUGGCUUUUAAUGUCUUCAACUGAUCCCAAACUUCACAACUUUUUAAAUUUACAGACUUAACCACUACCAUAGAUACAUAGGUAGGUAGGUAGGUAGGUAGAUAGAUAAUACACUGAGACAAUAAAUAUUGCCAGGGAAGAAAGGCUUUACUUGGACGAUGUCAGGAAAUAGGAAAGAAGUCUCAAAUCCA
This 491-nucleotide long non-coding RNA is filed under the name Homo sapiens (human). RNAcentral's name for it is "non-protein coding lnc-ST6GAL2-7:2". Lineage: Eukaryota; Metazoa; Chordata; Mammalia; Primates; Hominidae. The record is from RNAcentral.